GCCCAAAAUCUAGCCCCCCCCCCC
RNAcentral lists this ribosomal RNA (24 nucleotides) under Ischnocnema aff. holti CC-2012. RNAcentral describes it as "partial 16S ribosomal RNA". The record is from RNAcentral. Lineage: Eukaryota; Metazoa; Chordata; Amphibia; Anura; Brachycephalidae.